GCCUAAAGCGUCCGUAGCCGGCUCUGUUAGUUUUCGGUUAAAUCCAUAUGCUCAACGUACAGGCUGCUGGAAAUACUGCAGAGCUAGGGAGUGGGAGAGGUAGACGGUACUCGGGAGGAAGUGGUAAAAUGCUUUGAUCUCUCGAUGACCACCUGUGGCGAAGGCGGUCUACCAGAACACGUCCGACGGUGAGGGAUGAAAGCUGGGGGAGCAAACCGGAUUAGAUACCCGGGUAGUCCCAGCUGUAAACUAUGCAGACUCGGUGAUGCGCUGGCUUGUGGCCAGUGCAGUGCCGCAGGGAAGCCGUUAAGUUUGCCGCCUGGGAAGUACGUACGCAAGUAUGAAACUUAAAGGAAUUGGCGGGGGAGCACCACAAGGGGUGAAGCCUGCGGUUCAAUUGGAGUCAACGCCAGAAAUCUUACCCGAAGAGACAGCAGAAUGAAGGUCAAGCUGGAGACUUUACCAGACAAGCUGAGAAGUGGUGCAUGGCCGUCGCCAGCUCGUGCCGUGAGAUGUCCUGUUAAGUCAGGUAACGAGCGAGAUCCCUGCCUCUAGUUGCCACCAUUACUCUCAGGAGUAGUGGGGCGAAUUAGCGGGACCGCCGCAGUUAAUGCGGAGGAAGGAAGGGGCCACGGCAGGUCAGUAUGCCCCGAA
RNAcentral lists this ribosomal RNA (654 nucleotides) under uncultured archaeon. RNAcentral's name for it is "bacterial SSU rRNA". It matches the Rfam family "Archaeal small subunit ribosomal RNA", at positions 508 to 1160 of the family's 1478-position model. The record is from RNAcentral.